RNAcentral lists this ribosomal RNA (237 nucleotides) under uncultured bacterium. RNAcentral's name for it is "partial 16S ribosomal RNA". It matches the Rfam family "Bacterial small subunit ribosomal RNA", at positions 104 to 334 of the family's 1533-position model. The record is from RNAcentral.
CGGGACGGGGUGGAGUAAUGUCUGGGAAACGUGCCUGAUGGAGGGGGGUAACUACUGGAAACGGUAGCUAAUACCGCAUAACGUCGCAAGACCAAAGAGGGGGACCUUCGGGGCCUCUUGCCAUCGGAUGUGCCCAGAUGGGAUUAGCUAGUAGGUGGGGUAACGGCUCACCUAGGCGACGAUCCCUAGCUGGUCUGAGAGGAUGACCAGCCACACUGGAACUGAGACACGGUCCAG